UACAGAGGUCCCAAGCGUUGUUCGGAUUCACUGGGCGUAAAGGGUGCGUAGGCGGUCGGGUAAGUCUGACGUGAAAUCUUCAAGCUCAACUUGGAAACUGCGUCGGAUACUAUUCGGCUAGAGGAAUGGAGGGGAGACUGGAAUACUUGGUGUAGCAGUGAAAUGCGUAGAUAUCAAGUGGAACACCAGUGGCGAAGGCGAGUCUCUGGACAUUUCCUGACGCUGAGGAGCGAAAGCAUGGGGAGCGAACAGG
Molecule: ribosomal RNA, 253 nt
Filed under: uncultured bacterium
Lineage: Bacteria
Description: partial 16S ribosomal RNA
Rfam family: Bacterial small subunit ribosomal RNA
Source: RNAcentral